Molecule: ribosomal RNA, 142 nt
Filed under: uncultured eukaryote
Lineage: Eukaryota
Description: partial 18S ribosomal RNA
Rfam family: Eukaryotic small subunit ribosomal RNA
Source: RNAcentral
UGGUGGAGUGAUUUGUCUGGUUAAUUCCGUUAACGAACGAGACCUCCGCCUGCUAAAUAGUUGAAUUUAUCGAUUUGAUAGGUUUCGACUUCUUAGGGGGACGUUUUGGUCGAUUAGCCAAAGGAAGUUGGAGGCAAUAACA